RNAcentral lists this ribosomal RNA (1423 nucleotides) under Bacillus pumilus. Its description in RNAcentral is "16S ribosomal RNA". It matches the Rfam family "Bacterial small subunit ribosomal RNA". Lineage: Bacteria; Bacillati; Bacillota; Bacilli; Caryophanales; Bacillaceae. The record is from RNAcentral.
CGAGCGGAAGAAUGGACUUGCUCCCGGAUGUUAGCGGCUGACGGGUGAUUAACACGUGGGUAACCUGCCUGUAAGACUGGGAUAACUCCGGGAAACCGGAGCUAAUACCGGAUAGUUCCUUGAACCGCAUGGUUCAAGGAUGAAAGACGGUUUCGGCUGUCACUUACAGAUGGACCCGCGGCGCAUCUAUCUAUGUUGGUGAGGUAACGGCUCACCAAGGUUCGAGUGCUGUAUCCGACCUGAGAGGGUGAUCGGCCACCUGGGACUGAGACACGCCCAAACUCCUACUGGAGCAGCAGUAGGAAUCUUCCGCAUGGACAAAGGUCUGACGGAGCACGCCGCGUGAGUGAUGAAGGUUUUCUGCAUCAUAAAGCUCUGUUGUUAGGGAAAAACAAGCGCAAGAGUAACUGCUUGCAUCCUUGACGGUACCUAACCAGAAAGCCACGGCUAACUACGUGCCAGUCAGCCGCGGUAAGUACGUAGCGUGGCAAGCGUUGUCCAGGAAUUAUUGGGCGUAAAGGGCUCGCAGGCGGUUUCUUAUUCUGAUGUGAAAGCCCCCGGCUCAACCGGGGAGGGUCAUUGGAAACUGGGAAACUUGAGUGCAGAAGAGGAGAGUGGAAUUCCACGUGUAGCGGUGAAAUGCGUAGAGAUGUGGAGGAACACCAGUGCGAAGGCGACUCUCUGUCUGUAACUGACGCUGAGGACGAAAGCGUGGGAGCGAACAGAUUAGAUACCUGGUAGUCCACGCCGUCAAACGCAUGAGUGCUAAACGUGUUAGGGGGUUUCCGCCUCCUUAGUGCUGCAGCAUAACGCAUAAUGCACUCCGACCUGGGGAGUACUGAGUCGCAAGACUGAUAACUCAAAGGAAUGACGGGCGCCCGCACAAGCGGUGAGCAUGUGGUUUAAUUGAAGCAACGCGAAGAACCUUUACCAGGUCUUGACAUCCUCUGACAACCCUAGAGAUAGGGCUUUCCCUUCGGGGACAGUGUGACAGGUGUGCAUGCRUUGUCGUCAGCUCGUGUCGUGAGAUGUUGGGUUAAGAUCCCGCAACGAGCGCAACCCGUUGAUCUUAGUGCCAGCAUUCAGUUGGGCACUAUAAGGUGAACUGCCGGUGACACAACCGGAGGAAGGUGGGGAUGUACGUCAAAUCAUGCAUGCCCCUUAUCGCACUCUGAGGCUAACCACACGGUGCUACAAUGGACAGAACAAAGGGCUGCGAGACCGCAAGGUUUAGCCAAUCCCACAAAUCUGUUCUCAGUUCGGAUCGCAGUCUGCAACUCGACUGCGUGAAGCUGGAAUCGCUAGUAAUCGCGGAUCAGCAUGCCGCGGUGAAUACGUUCCCGGGCCUUGUACACACCGCCCGUCACACCACGAGAGUUUGCAACACCCGAAGUCGGUGAGGUAACCUUUAUGAGCCAGCCGC